AGCAGCCGCGGUAAUUCCAGCUCCAAUAGCGUAUAUUAAAGUUGUUGCAGUUAAAAAGCUCGUAGUUGAAUUUCGGGAUCAGAUUGUCGGUCGUGCCUCGGUACGCACUGGCAUUAUUGGUUCCUACCUUCUGAAGAACCGCGAUGUCAUUAAUUUGGUGUCUUGGGGAAUCAGGACCGUUACUUUGAAAAAAUUAGAGUGUUUAAAGCAGGCUCACGCUUGAAUACAUUAGCAUGGAAUAAUGAAAUAGGACGUUUGAUUCUAUUUUGUUGGUUUCUAGGAUCGACGUAAUGAUUAAUAGGGAUAGUUGGGGGCAUUAGUAUUCAAUUGUCAGAGGUGAAAUUCUUGGAUUUAUUGAAGACUAACUACUGCGAAAGCAUUUGCCAAGGAUGUUUUCAUUAAUCAAGAACGAAAGUUAGGGGAUCGAAGACGAUCAGAUACCGUCGUAGUCUUAACCAUAAACUAUGCCGACUAGGGAUCGGAUGAUGUUAAUUUUUUAAUGUACUCAUUCGGCGCC
This 517-nucleotide ribosomal RNA is filed under the name uncultured Glomus. RNAcentral describes it as "SSU rRNA". It matches the Rfam family "Eukaryotic small subunit ribosomal RNA", at positions 569 to 1087 of the family's 1831-position model. The record is from RNAcentral. Lineage: Eukaryota; Fungi; Glomeromycota; Glomeromycetes; Glomerales; Glomeraceae.